RNAcentral lists this ribosomal RNA (301 nucleotides) under uncultured bacterium. Its description in RNAcentral is "partial 16S ribosomal RNA". It matches the Rfam family "Bacterial small subunit ribosomal RNA", at positions 509 to 809 of the family's 1533-position model. The record is from RNAcentral.
CAGCCGCCACGGUAAUACGAAGGGGGCUAGCGUUGUUCGGAUUAACUGGGCGUAAAGGGCGCGUAGGCGGGUUUUUAAGUCAGAGGUGAAAUCCCAAGGCUCAACCUUGGAACUGCCUUUGAUACUGGAAGUCUUGAGUCCGGGAGAGGUGAGUGGAACUGCGAGUGUAGAGGUGAAAUUCGUAGAUAUUCGCAAGAACAUCAGUGGCGAAGGCGGCCAUCUGGGACAACACUGACGCUGAGGUGCGAAAGCGUGGGGAGCAAACAGGAUUAGAUACCCCGGUAGUCCCUGUCUCUUAUAA